AGAGUUUGAUCCUGGCUCAGGAUGAACGCUGGCGGCGUGCUUAACACAUGCAAGUCGAACGAUGAAGCCCUUCGGGGUGGAUUAGUGGCGAACGGGUGAGUAACACGUGGGCAAUCUGCCCUUCACUCUGGGACAAGCCCUGGAAACGGGGUCUAAUACCGGAUAACACUCUGUCCCGCAUGGGACGGGGUUAAAAGCUCCGGCGGUGAAGGAUGAGCCCGCGGCCUAUCAGCUUGUUGGUGGGGUGAUGGCCUACCAAGGCGACGACGGGUAGCCGGCCUGAGAGGGCGACCGGCCACACUGGGACUGAGACACGGCCCAGACUCCUACGGGAGGCAGCAGUGGGGAAUAUUGCACAAUGGGCGAAAGCCUGAUGCAGCGACGCCGCGUGAGGGAUGACGGCCUUCGGGUUGUAAACCUCUUUCAGCAGGGAAGAAGCGAAAGUGACGGUACCUGCAGAAGAAGCGCCGGCUAACUACGUGCCAGCAGCCGCGGUAAUACGUAGGGCGCAAGCGUUGUCCGGAAUUAUUGGGCGUAAAGAGCUCGUAGGCGGCUUGUUGCGUCGGUUGUGAAAGCCCGGGGCUUAACCCCGGGUCUGCAGUCGAUACGGGCAGGCUAGAGUGUGGUAGGGGAGAUCGGAAUUCCUGGUGUAGCGGUGAAAUGCGCAGAUAUCAGGAGGAACACCGGUGGCGAAGGCGGAUCUCUGGGCCAUUACUGACGCUGAGGAGCGAAAGCGUGGGGAGCGAACAGGAUUAGAUACCCUGGUAGUCCACGCCGUAAACGUUGGGAACUAGGUGUUGGCGACAUUCCACGUCGUCGGUGCCGCAGCUAACGCAUUAAGUUCCCCGCCUGGGGAGUACGGCCGCAAGGCUAAAACUCAAAGGAAUUGACGG
This 893-nucleotide ribosomal RNA is filed under the name Streptomyces sp. E2BS16_pA. Its description in RNAcentral is "bacterial SSU rRNA". It matches the Rfam family "Bacterial small subunit ribosomal RNA", at positions 8 to 916 of the family's 1533-position model. The record is from RNAcentral. Lineage: Bacteria; Bacillati; Actinomycetota; Actinomycetes; Kitasatosporales; Streptomycetaceae. RNAcentral also lists the same sequence under 2 other names.